RNAcentral lists this ribosomal RNA (496 nucleotides) under uncultured bacterium. Its description in RNAcentral is "partial 16S ribosomal RNA". It matches the Rfam family "Bacterial small subunit ribosomal RNA", at positions 29 to 507 of the family's 1533-position model. The record is from RNAcentral.
AUGAACGCUGGCGGCGUGCCUCAUCCAUGCAAGUCGAGCGAACAGACGAGGAGCUUGCUCCUCUGACGUUAGCGGCGGACGGGUGAGUAACACGUGGAUAACCUACCUAUAAGACUGGGAUAACUUCGGGAAACCGGAGCUAAUACCGGAUAAUAUAUUUAACCGCAUGGUUCAAUAGUGAAAGACGGUUUUGCUGUCACUUAUAGAUUGAUCCGCGCCGCAUUAGCUAGUUGGUAAGGUAACGGCUUACCAAGGCAACGAUGCGUAGCCGACCUGAGAGGGUGAUCGGCCACACUGGAACUGAGACACGGUCCAGACUCCUACGGGAGGCAGCAGUAGGGAAUCUUCCGCAAUGGGCGAAAGCCUGACGGAGCAACGCCGCGUGAGUGAUGAAGGUCUUCGGAUCGUAAAACUCUGUUAUUAGGGAAGAACAAAUGUGUAAGUAACUAUGCACGUCUUGACGGUACCUAAUCAGAAAGCCACGGCUAACUACGUG